CAGUCGAGGGGCAGCGGGGGAGUAGCAAUACUCCCGCCGGCGACCGGCGCACUGGUGAGUAACACGUAUGAAACCUGCCCGUAGCAGGGGGAUAAGCGGAAGAAAUUCCGUCUAAUACCGCGUAACAACCCAUGGAGGCAUCUCCGUGGGUUUAAAGGAAGCGAUUCCGGCUACGGAUGGUCAUGCGUCGCAUUAGCUUGUUGGCGGGGUAACGGCCCACCAAGGCGACGAUGCGUAGGGGUUCUGAGAGGAAGGUCCCCCACACUGGUACUGAGACACGGACCAGACUCCUACGGGAGGCAGCAGUGAGGAAUAUUGGUCAAUGGCCGCAGGGCUGAACCAGCCAAGUCGCGUGAGGGAUGACGGUCCUAUGGAUUGUAAACCUCUUUUGUCAGGGAGCAAAGGGCGCCACGUGUGGCGUUUUGCGAGUACCUGAAGAAAAAGCAUCGGCUAACUCCGUGCCAGCAGCCGCGGUAAUACGGAGGAUGCGAGCGUUAUCCGGAUUUAUUGGGUUUAAAGGGUGCGCAGGCGGAAUGUCAAGUCAGCGGUAAAAUUUCGGGGCUCAACCCCGUCGUGCCGUUGAAACUGGCGUUCUUGAGUGAGCGAGAAGUAUGCGGAAUGCGUGGUGUAGCGGUGAAAUGCAUAGAUAUCACGCAGAACUCCGAUUGCGAAGGCAGCAUACCGGCGCUCAACUGACGCUCAUGCACGAAAGCGUGGGUAUCGAACAGGAUUAGAUACCCUGGUAGUCCACGCAGUAAACGAUGAAUACUAACUGUCCGGGCAGAAUGAUG
This 791-nucleotide ribosomal RNA is filed under the name uncultured bacterium. RNAcentral describes it as "bacterial SSU rRNA". It matches the Rfam family "Bacterial small subunit ribosomal RNA", at positions 59 to 837 of the family's 1533-position model. The record is from RNAcentral.